RNAcentral lists this ribosomal RNA (492 nucleotides) under uncultured bacterium. Its description in RNAcentral is "partial 16S ribosomal RNA". It matches the Rfam family "Bacterial small subunit ribosomal RNA", at positions 29 to 507 of the family's 1533-position model. The record is from RNAcentral.
AGUGAACGCUGGCGGUAGGCCUAACACAUGCAAGUCGAACGGCAGCACAGUAAGAGCUUGCUCUUACGGGUGGCGAGUGGCGGACGGGUGAGGAAUACAUCGGAAUCUACUUUUUCGUGGGGGAUAACGUAGGGAAACUUACGCUAAUACCGCAUACGACCUACGGGUGAAAGCAGGGGAUCUUCGGACCUUGCGCGAUUGAAUGAGCCGAUGUCGGAUUAGCUAGUUGGCGGGGUAAAGGCCCACCAAGGCGACGAUCCGUAGCUGGUCUGAGAGGAUGAUCAGCCACACUGGAACUGAGACACGGUCCAGACUCCUACGGGAGGCAGCAGUAGGGAAUAUUGGACGAUGGGCGCAAGCCUGAUCCAGCCAUACCGCGUGGGUGAAGAAGGCCUUCGGGUUGUAAAGCCCUUUUGUUGGGAAAGAAAAGCAGCAGGUUAAUACCCCGCUGUUCUGACGGUACCCAAAGAAUAAGCACCGGCUAACUUCGUG